UUUCCGUAGGUGAACCUGCGGAAGGAUCAUCAACAAAACAAAAUUCAAAACAAAAAACAAACAACACCAAUUUCAUUCCAAAAUUAUAUUGGAAUGUUUUUUUAAUGGGGAUGUGGAGAUUUCUAAUUUUUUUAAUUAGAUUUUUCUCAUGCCCCAUCAUUUAAAACUCCUAAAAAAACAAAUUAAAAAAUCAUUCCAAAAAAUUUUAAAAUAUAAAAAUAGAGACAACUUUUAACAAUGGAUCUCUUGGCUCUC
Molecule: unclassified non-coding RNA, 255 nt
Filed under: plant metagenome
Description: partial contains small subunit ribosomal RNA, internal transcribed spacer 1, and 5.8S ribosomal RNA
Source: RNAcentral